Molecule: ribosomal RNA, 1346 nt
Filed under: uncultured bacterium
Lineage: Bacteria
Description: partial 16S ribosomal RNA
Rfam family: Bacterial small subunit ribosomal RNA
Source: RNAcentral
GACGAACGCUGGCGGCGUGCUUAACACAUGCAAGUCGAACGGAAAGGCCCUGCUUUUGUGGGGUGCUCGAGUGGCGAACGGGUGAGUAACACGUGAGUAACCUGCCCUUGACUUUGGGAUAACUUCAGGAAACUGGGGCUAAUACCGGAUAGGAGCUCCUGCUGCAUGGUGGGGGUUGGAAAGUUUCGGCGGUUGGGGAUGGACUCGCGGCUUAUCAGCUUGUUGGUGGGGUAGUGGCUUACCAAGGCUUUGACGGGUAGCCGGCCUGAGAGGGUGACCGGCCACAUUGGGACUGAGAUACGGCCCAGACUCCUACGGGAGGCAGCAGUGGGGAAUAUUGCACAAUGGGCGGAAGCCUGAUGCAGCAACGCCGCGUGCGGGAUGACGGCCUUCGGGUUGUAAACCGCUUUCGCCUGUGACGAGGCGUGAGUGACGGUAAUGGGUAAAGAAGCACCGGCUAACUACGUGCCAGCAGCCGCGGUGAUACGUAGGGUGCGAGCGUUGUCCGGAUUUAUUGGGCGUAAAGGGCUCGUAGGUGGUUGAUCGCGUCGGAAGUGUAAUCUUGGGGCUUAACCCUGAGCGUGCUUUCGAUACGGGUUGACUUGAGGAAGGUAGGGGAGAAUGGAAUUCCUGGUGGAGCGGUGGAAUGCGCAGAUAUCAGGAGGAACACCAGUGGCGAAGGCGGUUCUCUGGGCCUUUCCUGACGCUGAGGAGCGAAAGCGUGGGGAGCGAACAGGCUUAGAUACCCUGGUAGUCCACGCUGUAAACGGUGGGUACUAGGUGUGGGGUCCAUUCCACGGGUUCCGUGCCGUAGCUAACGCUUUAAGUACCCCGCCUGGGGAGUACGGCCGCAAGGCUAAAACUCAAAGGAAUUGACGGGGCCCCGCACAAGCGGCGGAGCAUGCGGAUUAAUUCGAUGCAACGCGUAGAACCUUACCUGGGUUUGACAUGGAUCGGGAGUGCUCAGAGAUGGGUGUGCCUCUUUUGGGGUCGGUUCACAGGUGGUGCAUGGCUGUCGUCAGCUCGUGUCGUGAGAUGUUGGGUUAAGUCCCGCAACGAGCGCAACCCUUGUUCACUGUUGCCAGCACGUUAUGGUGGGGACUCAGUGGAGACCGCCGGGGUCAACUCGGAGGAAGGUGGGGAUGACGUCAAGUCAUCAUGCCCCUUAUGUCCAGGGCUUCACGCAUGCUACAAUGGCUGGUACAGAGAGUGGCGAGCCUGUGAGGGUGAGCGAAUCUCGGAAAGCCGGUCUCAGUUCGGAUUGGGGUCUGCAACUCGACCUCAUGAAGUCGGAGUCGCUAGUAAUCGCAGAUCAGCAACGCUGCGGUGAAUACGUUCCCGGGGCU